RNAcentral lists this ribosomal RNA (486 nucleotides) under Dicyphococcus ficicola. Its description in RNAcentral is "SSU rRNA". It matches the Rfam family "Eukaryotic small subunit ribosomal RNA", at positions 51 to 451 of the family's 1831-position model. Lineage: Eukaryota; Metazoa; Arthropoda; Insecta; Hemiptera; Coccidae. The record is from RNAcentral.
AUGCAUGUCUAAGUGCAAGCCGGACUCGUUCGGUGAAACCGCGAAAGGCUCAUUAAAUCAGUUAUGGUUCCUUAGAUCGUACCCACGUUACAUGGAUAACUGUGGUAAUUCUAGAGCUAAUACAUGCUUACAGAGCUCCGACCAGCGGUGGGACGUUGCGACUCGUUCGCGGCGCUCCGGUCGUUCGGAAGGAGCGCUUUUAUUAGAUCAAAACCGGCCAAGCGCGUCGGUCGCGCUUCGCGCGCGUCCGCGCGUAAGAGGCCCGCGCAAAGACUUGACGACUCUGAAUAACUUUUAGCUGAUUGUACGGUCUCCGUACCGACAACGUAUCUUUCAAAUGUCUGCCUUAUCAACUGUCGACGGUAGUUUAGACGACUACCGUGGUGGUAACGGGUAACGGGGAAUCAGGGUUCGAUUCCGGAGAGGGAGCCUGAGAAACGGCUACCACAUCCAAGGAAGGCAGCAGGCACGAAAAUUAUCCACUUC